RNAcentral lists this long non-coding RNA (1659 nucleotides) under Cinara cedri. The record is from RNAcentral. Lineage: Eukaryota; Metazoa; Arthropoda; Insecta; Hemiptera; Aphididae.
ACAUAGUUGUAGAAAAGGACACUGUUCGGCUUUUGACGCAGUUCGUUUGUCGUGGUGUUCAAUAUUAUUAUAUUAUUAUUAUAUAUAAAGCGAGCACAAUAAUAUCGUCUUGUCCGUCACCGCAGUGCGCAAAAUAAUACACACACACACACACACGCGAGUGUUCUGAAGGGAGAGAGGAACCCCCCCCCCGUAAUACCUGCUGUCGUUAUAAUAUUUUAUUAUCCCUAGAUAUUAUAUAAUAUUAAACAUUCAUUUUUUCGUAUUUCUUGUUUUCUCGCCGACAACGCUGUACUAUUAUCGUAUAUAAACUCGAGCCAUUAUUAUUAUUAUUAUAAUACUAUCGUAUCCUCCGGCCGCACGUCAUUUAUUCGAGAAAAAAACAAUAUUGUUAUUAUUUGAACACCACAGACGCCUAUGUGUAAAACGACCGGAUGCCGGAGACCCCGUACGAGUGAACGGGGAAAAGCAGCUGCGGCGACCAUACAUUUUACGUCUGCCGAGCGGGCAAUACGUACACGUUUUAUUGAUUAACCCGUGUGAAAUAUUUGUUUACGCCGUGAUAAUACUCUGGGACAAAUACGCAUUAUUGUCAUAACGCGUAACGCAAUAUUACCGUAAAGCGUUUCUAUAUAAUAACCGGACGGUGUAACUUUCACGGGGCACACAAAUAUUUCGCACGGAUUGAUCUAUGCGAUUUAUUCAUGUAGACAAUAUACAUAAUGAUGAAUUAGCUACAUUCUAUCGGUUAGUUAUCGGCGUUUCCGAAUCUUUUCGCUCACUCGCCAAUAAUGUAUAGGUACACUGCGUGAACAAUUAUUCGACAAUUAUUCUUCCACUGAGUUAAUUCGAUUAUCGUUGAUGUCGGUUUUCCACUAUAGGCAUAGCGACAAAAUAGUAUUCAUCUUCCUUAUUCGGAAACGAUUUCAUCCUGUGCAGUAACGGUUCUUCUACUUGAAACGAGCCGCAGGCGCGAAUCUUCGAUUUCGUAUCAGUCUGAUCAAAAAUCUAUGAUAUGGAUAACACGAUACUAUGUGUAACUGUAUUUCACUGUUAGACCAGACCGGACACUGCGCCAAAGUAGUCAGUGUCCCGAGUGUAAACAAAAAGCUUUAGCCGAUCGAAAACAACGACAGGUUUUGGACGAACCGAGAAAGAAUAAAACACGGCAAAUUUAAUCCAUGCGAUCGGCUGAUUCGGACCCGACAAAAAUAUCGAUGACACGGAGACGCCAUCAGGACAUGUGACGGGUCGGUGACGGUACACGGUAUCUGGUCGGAACCAAUGACCCGACCAAUAUACCUGGCCGAUCAGACCUUUCGAUUUGCAUUUGUGGCCCGUUUCUAAUAGGGAACUCGUUUAAUUCGCUGCCCGCCACGUACGGGAACUGCACACGAUGCACGCCAUGGCCCAAGUCCAUUGUGUAUUAUCUACGGGGAUUUGUCCUCGUCUAAUGGGUGUAGAAUUUAUGUACGUGUGGCGCUACCCGACUCCAUAAUAGUAUUGUCGCUUGCGGGACCUCUGUCGGCGGUCCGGUCGUCUUGCGUACCUAACUAUGUUAAAACAUUACAUUACUAUUACACUUGUAUUUUAUGCAGCGCGUUUUUAAGAUUAAAACAAAAUAAAAUAUUACGUGUUAUUUGUAAAUAUCGAAAUACU